GACGAACGCUGGCGGCGUGCUUAACACAUGCAAGUCGAACGGAAAGGCCCCAGCUUGCUGGAGUACUCGAGUGGCGAACGGGUGAGUAACACGUGGGUAACCUGCCCUGCACUCUGGGAUAAGCCUAGGAAACUGGGUCUAAUACCGGAUAUGACCUUUCUCCUCAUGGGGUUUGGUGGAAAGUUUCUCGGUGUAGGAUGAGCCCGCGGCCUAUCAGCUUGUUGGUGGGGUGAUGGCCUACCAAGGCGACGACGGGUAGCCGGCCUGAGGGGGUGAUCGGCCACAUUGGGACUGAGAUACGGCCCAGACUCCUACGGGAGGCAGCAGUGGGGAAUAUUGCACAAUGGGCGGAAGCCUGAUGCAGCGACGCCGCGUGAGGGAUGACGGCCUUCGGGUUGUAAACCUCUUUCAGCAGGGACGAAGCGUAAGUGACGGUACCUGCAGAAGAAGCACCGGCUAACUAUGUG
This 467-nucleotide ribosomal RNA is filed under the name uncultured bacterium. RNAcentral's name for it is "partial 16S ribosomal RNA". It matches the Rfam family "Bacterial small subunit ribosomal RNA", at positions 28 to 507 of the family's 1533-position model. The record is from RNAcentral.